UACGGGAAGGCAGCAGGUGGGGAAUAUUGCACAAUGGGCGAAAGCCUGAUGCAGCUAUGCCGCGUGUAUGAAGAAGGCCUUAGGGUUGUAAAGUACUUUCAUCGGGGAGGAAAAAACAAAACUAAUAAUUUUAUUUCUUGACGUUACCCGAAAAAGAAGCACCGGCUAACUCCGUGCCAGCAGCCGCGGUAAUACGGAGGGUGCUAGCGUUAAUCAGAAUUACUGGGCGUAAAGAGCACGUAGGUGGUUUUUUUAAAGUCAGAUGUGAAAUCCCUUGGGCUUAACCUGGAAACUGCAUUUUGAAACUGAAAUACUAGAGUAUCGUAGAGGGAGGUAGAAUUCUAGGUGUAGCGGUGAAAUGCGUAGAUAUCUGGAGGAAUACCUGUGGCGAAAGCGGCCUCCUAAACCGGAAUACUGACACUGAGGUGCGAAAGCUGGGGAGCAACAGGGAUUAGAUACC
RNAcentral lists this ribosomal RNA (460 nucleotides) under uncultured bacterium. RNAcentral's name for it is "bacterial SSU rRNA". It matches the Rfam family "Bacterial small subunit ribosomal RNA", at positions 340 to 786 of the family's 1533-position model. The record is from RNAcentral.